CCAAUAGCGUAUAUUAAAGUUGUUGCAGUUAAAAAGCUCGUAGUUGAAUUUCGGGAUUGACACAUCGGUCGUGCCUUAAGGGGUAUGAACUGGUGUAGUCAAUUUCUCACCUUCUGGAGAACCACGAUGCCCUUAAUUGGGUGUCGCGGGGAACCAGGACCUUUACUUUGAAAAAAUUGGAGUGUUUAAAGCAGGCAUUUUGCUUGAAUACAUUAGCAUGGAAUAAUAAAAUAGGACGGCAUGAUUCUAUUUUGUUGGUUUCUAGGAUCACCGUAAUGAUUAAUAGGGAUAGUUGGGGGCAUUAGUAUUCAAUUGUCAGAGGUGAAAUUCUUGGAUUUAUUGAAGACUAACUACUGCGAAAGCAUUUGCCAAGGAUGUUUUCAUUAAUCAAGAACGAAAGUUAGGGGAUCGAAGACGAUCAGAUACCGUCGUAGUCUUAACCAUAAACUAUGCCGACUAGGAAUCAGACGAUGUUAAUUUUUUAAUGACUCGUUUGGCACCUUAC
RNAcentral lists this ribosomal RNA (505 nucleotides) under uncultured Glomeromycotina. RNAcentral describes it as "partial small subunit ribosomal RNA". It matches the Rfam family "Eukaryotic small subunit ribosomal RNA", at positions 591 to 1091 of the family's 1831-position model. Lineage: Eukaryota; Fungi; Glomeromycota. The record is from RNAcentral.